This 290-nucleotide small nuclear RNA is filed under the name Meriones unguiculatus (Mongolian gerbil). Its description in RNAcentral is "7SK RNA (ENSMUGG00000007005.1)". It matches the Rfam family "7SK RNA", at positions 1 to 287 of the family's 331-position model. Rfam says of the family: 7SK was discovered as an abundant small nuclear RNA in the mid-70s but a possible function has only recently been suggested. The record is from RNAcentral. Lineage: Eukaryota; Metazoa; Chordata; Mammalia; Rodentia; Muridae.
GGAUGUGAGAAUGAUCUGGCUGUGACAUACGUCACCCAUUGAUGUCCAAUGAGAUCAAUGCUUGAUUUGUCUGAUCUGGCUGGCUAAGCAGGUGUCCCCUUCCUCCCUCAACAAUCCAUGUGCAUUCUUCCUGAAGCUGCAUGCUCAGUUGAAGAAGACAAUCUUCAAUGAAUAGAGAAAGACUAGACUAGUCUCUGGUCAAGGGUAGCUAUGCUCCUUUGCUAGAAUCUUCAAACAUGGUCUCAAGAUAUAUAACUUCUAUAUAUUGACUGUAUUUGUUACAAUUAAAU